GAACUGCGAUAAGUAAUGUGAAUUGCAGAAUUCAGUGAAUCAUCGAGUCUUUGAACGCACAUUGCGCCCCCUGGCAUUCCGGGGGGCAUGCCUGUCCGAGCGUCAUUGCUGCCCUUCAAGCCCGGCUUGUGUGUUGGGUCGUCGUCCCCCCCGGGGGACGGACCCGAAAGGCAGCGGCGGCACCGUGUCCGGUCCUCGAGCGUAUGGGGCUUUGUCACCCGCUCGAUUAGGACCGGCCGGGUGCCCGCCGGCGUCAAACCCCCAAUCUUUCUAAGGUUGACCUCGGAUCAGGUAGGGAUACCCGCUGAACUUAAGC
Molecule: unclassified non-coding RNA, 316 nt
Filed under: plant metagenome
Description: partial contains 5.8S ribosomal RNA, internal transcribed spacer 2, and large subunit ribosomal RNA
Rfam family: 5.8S ribosomal RNA (bases 1-105)
Source: RNAcentral